AGAAUUUUAUGUAUCACAGUGUUCAACUGAAAAUGCUUUUCUAAUUAGUAUAUAUAGCAAGCUCUACCAUUUAU
Molecule: non-coding RNA, 74 nt
Organism: Pangasianodon gigas (Mekong giant catfish)
Lineage: Eukaryota; Metazoa; Chordata; Actinopteri; Siluriformes; Pangasiidae
Source: the annotation of a GenBank genome assembly